This is a small nucleolar RNA of Papaver somniferum (opium poppy), 89 nucleotides long. The record is from RefSeq and is a predicted model, not a curated record. Lineage: Eukaryota; Viridiplantae; Streptophyta; Magnoliopsida; Ranunculales; Papaveraceae.
GAGAUGGCUGUGAUGAUUUAUAAACUACCUAUUUUACGAGGAAUGUUUUUCCUUUGAUUUGUAAUCCAAUGGAUCCUUCUGAGCUCUCU